GAUGAACGCUGGCGGCGUGCCUAAUACGUGCAAGUCGAGCGAACAGAUGAGGAGCUUGCUCCUCUGACGUUAGCGGCGGACGGGUGAGUAACACGUGGAUAACCUACCUAUAAGACUGGGAUAACUUCGGGAAACCGGAGCUAAUACCGGAUAAUAUAUUGAACCGCAUGGUUCAAUAGUGAAAGACGGUUUUGCUGUCACUUAUAGAUGGAUCCGCGCCGCAUUAGCUAGUUGGUAAGGUAACGGCUUACCAAGGCGACGAUGCGUAGCCGACCUGAGAGGGUGAUCGGCCACACUGGAACUGAGACACGGUCCAGACUCCUACGGGAGGCAGCAGUAGGGAAUCUUCCGCAAUGGGCGAAAGCUUGACGGAGCAACGCCGCGUGAGUGAUGAAGGUCUUCGGAUCGUAAAACUCUGUUAUUAGGGAAGAACAAAUGUGUAAGUAACUAUGCACGUCUUGACGGUACCUAAUCAGAAAGCCACGGCUAACUACGUG
Molecule: ribosomal RNA, 497 nt
Filed under: uncultured bacterium
Lineage: Bacteria
Description: partial 16S ribosomal RNA
Rfam family: Bacterial small subunit ribosomal RNA
Source: RNAcentral